AACCUAGCACACCUGCGGUGUGUACCUGCGGAAGGAUCAUUACCGAGUUUACAACUCCCAAACCCCUGUGAACAUACCUAUACGUUGCCUCGGCGGAUCAGCCCGCGCCCUGUAAAAAGGGACGGCCCGCCCGAGGACCCUAAACUCUGUUUUUAGUGGAACUUCUGAGUAAAACAAACAAAUAAAUCAAAACUUUUAACAAUGGAUCU
This 209-nucleotide unclassified non-coding RNA is filed under the name soil metagenome. RNAcentral describes it as "partial contains 5.8S ribosomal RNA, internal transcribed spacer 2, and large subunit ribosomal RNA". The record is from RNAcentral.